Molecule: long non-coding RNA, 280 nt
Organism: Suricata suricatta (meerkat)
Lineage: Eukaryota; Metazoa; Chordata; Mammalia; Carnivora; Herpestidae
Exons: 2
Source: RefSeq, a predicted model, not a curated record
AGGAAAUUCAAAUCAACUUCUAGCCAUCUUGGAUGAGACACAAAAGGACCAGUCCUUCAGAGGAGCAAAGACUCUUUCUAUGGGCCACCUAUGUGAUGGGAUUUACAGAUGGACUCUAAGAAGAUGCAUCCCAACUAAGGUCAAUACAUCCUGCAUCUGGAUUCCUUAUCUAUCCAACAUCAAAAUCUACAACUAUUUUUUAAGGAGAAGUAAGCUCAUUCUCCUUAGCACAGCAUUCUUCUUGUUUCUGGGUAAAAUAAAGCUGAAUUAAGAAUGCUUA